AUACGGAGGGUGCGAACGUUAAUCGGAAUUACUGGGCGUAAAGCGCGCGUAGGCGGUUCGGCAAGUGGGAUGUGAAAGCCCAGGGCUUAACCUUGGAACUGCAUUCCAAACUGUCGGACUAGAGUAUGGUAGAGGGAGGUAGAAUUUCCUGUGUAGCGGUGAAAUGCGUAGAUAUAGGAAGGAAUACCGGUGGCGAAGGCGGCCUCCUGGACCAAUACUGACGCUGAGGUGCGAAAGCGUGGGGAGCAAACAGGAUUAGAGACCCCGGUAGUCC
RNAcentral lists this ribosomal RNA (274 nucleotides) under uncultured bacterium. Its description in RNAcentral is "partial 16S ribosomal RNA". It matches the Rfam family "Bacterial small subunit ribosomal RNA", at positions 523 to 796 of the family's 1533-position model. The record is from RNAcentral.